CCCUACAACCAAAUAAAACUGUAGACAGUAGGUGUCUGUUACUGGUCUUAAUUAGAAGUCUGAUCAAGAUUUCGCACAGAUUAGCAGCAAGACUUAAUUUCCUGCCGAGGUUGUUAACGAGGGAGUUAUGCUCUCCUUGACCUCUACCUGUUGUCGGUUAGGGGUCAUUGUUUUGGCGC
This is a regulatory RNA element of Pseudanabaena sp., 179 nucleotides long. It matches the Rfam family "Ribosomal protein L10 leader". From Rfam's summary of the family: This family is a putative r-protein leader autoregulatory structure found in B. subtilis and other low-GC Gram-positive bacteria. It is located in the 5' untranslated regions of mRNAs encoding ribosomal proteins L10 and L12 (rplJ-rplL). The record is from Rfam. NCBI's taxonomy places the organism in Bacteria, Bacillati, Cyanobacteriota, Cyanophyceae, Pseudanabaenales, Pseudanabaenaceae.